Molecule: long non-coding RNA, 2514 nt
Filed under: Olea europaea subsp. europaea
Lineage: Eukaryota; Viridiplantae; Streptophyta; Magnoliopsida; Lamiales; Oleaceae
Source: RNAcentral
CCCGUUCUAUGGAUUUGAAUCCUAAGAUGACGAACCAAGCAACCCCACAAUAAUAGUAAUAUGAAGAACCUCUUGAUCACGCAACCAAAGACACACCCAGAUUUUGAACGCCACAAUAAAGCAUCUUGAUAAGUUUGAAAAGUCUUAUAAGAAGAACAAAGAUUGGAAAGCAAGAAUUGCCUUUUAAAUUAAUUCUCAAUAAUGUCAAAGUUGUUCUUACAAUCAAUAGGAGAAAAUAUUUAUACUAAUCCUAAAAAAUAUUGUCUUGGAUGGAAAUUAUGCUCCAAAUACCCAAAAAUAAUAAUUAGAAUCAAAUUUUAUGGAAACCAGAAGAAUUCCCAAAAAUAGAAAACGCGUCACAAAUUUUGUAAUAUGCGGCCGCAUAGAGUGUUUCUAUGCGGUAGCAUGGAAGAGUUGUUGUUGCCCAAAAAUUUCCCUACAUGGGUCUAUAUGACUGCAAGCCAACUGCAUAGUACUGAAUUUUAGCUCCAACUUCGUCCGCUUCUAUUACGUUGAUCCAUUUCGAUUCCGCUCUCGACCCCAACAUGAAAGUUGCCUCGUUUUGCAUCUUGAACAUCGUUCCUUCAAUAGUAGAUUGAACAAGUAGUCUCAUUGCUUGAUUUACCCGCUUUGCCCUCGAACGUGUUAUGGUCCACCUUCAAUACUCAGCAGGUCUUGAUUCGGACUUGUCUUCGUGACUCUCACAUCUUGGAUCAUAUCAUCCUCUCUCUCUUCAAAAUGAUUCGUCCUCGGAUCUGCACCUGCAUCAAAAAGAAAGAGACCAGACACAUUAAAUGUAGUUGAAACAUUAUACUCACCUGAAAUAUCCACUUUGUAUGCAUUAUCGUUGAUAUUUUCGAUGACUUGAAACGGACCAUCUUCCCAUGCCUGCAACUUAGACUUUCUCUGCUCUGGAAAACGCUCAUUUCUAAAAUGUACCCAAUCACCUGGUUUAAAUGUCACGCGCUUUCUUCCUUUGUUUGCCUUUGAUGCAAUAAGCUUACUCCUUUCUUUAAUUUACAUCUUGAUCUUCUCGUGGAAUGACUUUACCAACUCAGUUUUUCUCUUACCAUCCAAACUAUCUCGUUCAUUCAUCGGUAAAGGUAACAAAUCCAAGGAAGUUAGUGGGUUAAGCCCAUAAAUGAUUUCAAAAGGUGAGAACGAAGUAGUAAAAUCUAUAGCUCUAUUAUAUGCAAAUUCAACAAAAGAUAGGCACUCUUCCCAACUCUUCAAGUUUUUAUUUAUUACAGUGCGUAAUAAUUGAGUCAUGGUCCUAUUGACCACCUCAGUUUGUCCCUUGGUUUGUGGGUGACAUGUUGUGGAAAAUAAUAAUUUCGUGCCUAAUUUACCCCACAAAAGCCACCAAAAAUGACUCAAAAAUUUUACAUCCCUGUUUGACAUGAUAUUCCCAGGGAUCCUAUGCAAACGCACUAUCUCUUUAAAGAACAAAUUUGCUAUGUGAGCGGCAUCAUCAGUUUUAUGACACGGUAUGAAAUGCACUAUCUUACUAAACCUAUCUACCACCACAAAAAUAGAAUCCCGUUCACUCUUAUUCCUAGGUAAAUCCAACACAAAAUCCAAGGUUCACUAGGAGUAGGUAACGGUGUGUACAACCCUCGAGGUAAAACCUUAGAUUUAGCCUCCUUACAAGUUAUGCAUUGGCUAAAUAUCCGUUCAAUGUCACUUUUCAUUUUAGGCUAAUAAAAAUGCUCCUUUAACAUUUCUAAAGUUUUCUUAACCCCACAGUGUCCCAUCAAUCCACCGCUAUAUGCCUCUCUUACUAGCAAUUCUCGCAUCGAACACUUAGGAAUACACAACUUUUUCGCGAAACAAGUACCCCUCAUUCCUAAAGAACUUGUCUAUAGACCCCUUAUUACAUGAUUUAUACACAUCAGAAAAAUCCAAGCCAUUCACAUACAUAUCUUUAAUGUGCUCAAAACCAAGUAAUUUAGAACUAUGAGAAGUUAGUAACACAUACCUGCGAGACAAAGCAUCUGCCACCACAUUAUCUUUACCUUGCUUAUAGCGAAUGACAUAGGGGAAUGUUUCUAUAAAUUCUAUCUACCUUACAUGCCUCUUGUUCAGUUUUUUUGACCCUGCAAAUGUUUGAGAGACAUAUGAUCAGUGUGUUUUACAAAUUCCUUAGGCCACAAGUAAUGCUGCCAAGUCUCCAAAAUUCGAACAAGUGAGUACAACUCUUUGUCAUACGUAGGGUAGUUAAGAGCGGCUCCACUCAGCUUCUCACUAAAAUAAGCCAUUGGCCUGUUGUCCUGCAUCAAUAUUGCUCCAAUCGCUAUUCCUGAGGCAUCACACUCAAUCUCGAAUGUUUUGUCAAAAUUAGGUAAAGCUAAAAUAGGUGCUUUACAUAAUUGAUCUUUAAUUGUAUUAAAUGCUUGCUCCUGCUUACUAUCCCAAUGAAAAUCUAUGCUCUUCUUUACUACCUUAGUGAGUGGUGUAAUCUUUCACAAAUCGCCUAUAGAAACUAGCCAAUCCAUUAAAACUCCUUACUUCGGC